CGGGAGGCAGCAGUAGGGAAUCUUCCACAAUGGACGAAAGUCUGAUGGAGCAACGCCGCGUGAGUGAAGAAGGUUUUCGGAUCGUAAAACUCUGUUGURAGGGAAGAACAMGUACGAGAGUAACUGCUCGUACCUUGACGGUACCUYAUUAGAAAGCCACGGCUAACUACGUGCCAGCAGCCGCGGUAAUACGUAGGUGGCAAGCGUUGUCCGGAAUUAUUGGGCGUAAAGCGCGCGCAGGCGGUCCUUUAAGUCUGAUGUGAAAGCCCACGGCUCAACCGUGGARGGUCAUUGGAAACUGGGGGACUUGAGUACAGAAGAGGAAAGCGGAAUUCCAAGUGUAGCGGUGAAAUGCGUAGAGAUUUGGAGGAACACCAGUGGCGAAGGCGGCUUUCUGGUCUGUAACUGACGCUGAGGCGCGAAAGCGUGGGGAGCAAACAGGAUUAGAUACCCUGGUAGUCCACGCCGUAAACGAUGAGUGCU
This 483-nucleotide ribosomal RNA is filed under the name uncultured bacterium. Its description in RNAcentral is "bacterial SSU rRNA". It matches the Rfam family "Bacterial small subunit ribosomal RNA", at positions 342 to 817 of the family's 1533-position model. The record is from RNAcentral.